Molecule: long non-coding RNA, 690 nt
Filed under: Rattus norvegicus (Norway rat)
Lineage: Eukaryota; Metazoa; Chordata; Mammalia; Rodentia; Muridae
Description: long non-coding RNA NONRATT014261
Source: RNAcentral
GGGACACUGGCAGAGUUCAAGUAAGGGGUCAGAAUUUAGGUUCUCUGUGACCUGCAAAUCCACCAAACAGGCAAGUCGUGAAGACUCCACUAGUCUUUUCCCACCCACCUUUCAGUAGUUCUCAGGUUCCCACUGCACACUGAAGGAUGACAUACUCUUUGAAAGAAAUUAAAUUUCCUCAUUUUUCAAGGCUUCUGCCCUGAGGACAGGGGACUUUGCAGAAAAAGGACUAGUUCCCCUUCUACAUGUUCCUGGCAUGAAUCCUCAGGAAACAAUGUAGUUGGAAGCUGGGCCCACAAGACAGACUGACUGAUUUAACCUGGAAACAUCCUGAGAGAGAGAAGCUCCUGAGUAGUUCUCACUGUGCUGAAAGAAGUGAGAGCUCCGGGGCGCAGGCUGGGGUAGAGGAGAAAAGCUGCCAAGAACUGCGUGCACUUGCCUCGUGCUCCACCAGUGCGUCCCCACUACCGACAGGUGCUUCUGCACUGUCUAAUUCUCUUUCCACUUUGACUACCCCACCAUCUUCCUCUGAUGUGUGGGAAGAUACUUCAUCUUGUGUGGUCUCCUCUUCGUCACCUUCACUGUCACCUGGAACACAUAAACUGGUCACUUGUUCUGAUUUUAUAUGAAUAUAUCCUGAGCUGCUGUCCACUUAAGAGUUUGCAGCUAUAAUAAAACAUAUUUUCAGAC